CCUGAAACCGUGUACGUACAAGCAGUGGGAGCCUCUUAAUGGGGUGACUGCGUACCUUUUGUAUAAUGGGUCAGCGACUUAUAUUCUGUAGCAAGGUUAACCGAAUAGGGGAGCCGAAGGGAAACCGAGUCUUAACUGGGCGUUAAGUUGCAGGGUAUAGACCCGAAACCCGGUGAUCUAGCCAUGGGCAGGUUGAAGGUUGGGUAACACUAACUGGAGGACCGAACCGACUAAUGUUGAAAAAUUAGCGGAUGACUUGUGGCUGGGGGUGAAAGGCCAAUCAAACCGGGAGAUAGCUGGUUCUCCCCGAAAGCUAUUUAGGUAGCGCCUCGUGAAUUCAUCUCCGGGGGUAGAGCACUGUUUCGGCAAGGGGGUCAUCCCGACUUACCAACCCGAUGCAAACUGCGAAUACCGGAGAAUGUUAUCACGGGAGACACACGGCGGGUGCUAACGUCCGUCGUGAAGAGGGAAACAACCCAGACCGCCAGCUAAGGUCCCAAAGUCAUGGUUAAGUGGGAAACGAUGUGGGAAGGCCCAGACAGCCAGGAUGUUGGCUUAGAAGCAGCCAUCAUUUAAAGAAAGCGUAAUAGCUCACUGGUCGAGUCGGCCUGCGCGGAAGAUGUAACGGGGCUAAACCAUGCACCGAAGCUGCGGCAGCGACACUAUGUGUUGUUGGGUAGGGGAGCG
This 687-nucleotide ribosomal RNA is filed under the name Escherichia coli. Its description in RNAcentral is "partial 23S ribosomal RNA". It matches the Rfam family "Bacterial large subunit ribosomal RNA", at positions 549 to 1238 of the family's 2925-position model. RNAcentral also lists the same sequence under 1 other name. Lineage: Bacteria; Pseudomonadati; Pseudomonadota; Gammaproteobacteria; Enterobacterales; Enterobacteriaceae. The record is from RNAcentral.